Molecule: transfer RNA, 73 nt
Filed under: Clostridiales bacterium
Lineage: Bacteria; Bacillati; Bacillota; Clostridia; Eubacteriales
Description: tRNA-Thr
Rfam family: tRNA
About the family: Transfer RNA (tRNA) molecules are approximately 80 nucleotides in length.
Source: RNAcentral
GCUUCUAUAGCUCAAUUGGUAGAGCAAUUCACUUGUAAUGAAAAGGUUGGGGGUUCGAGUCCCUCUAGGAGCU